This 334-nucleotide unclassified non-coding RNA is filed under the name soil metagenome. RNAcentral describes it as "partial contains 5.8S ribosomal RNA, internal transcribed spacer 2, and large subunit ribosomal RNA". The stretch from base 1 to 120 matches the Rfam family "5.8S ribosomal RNA", at positions 35 to 154 of the family's 154-position model. The record is from RNAcentral.
GAUGAAGAACGUAGCGAAAUGCGAUAAGUAAUGUGAAUUGCAGAAUUCAGUGAAUCAUCGAAUCUUUGAACGCACAUUGCGCCCGCCAGUAUUCUGGCGGGCAUGCCUGUUCGAGCGUCAUUUCAACCAUCAAGCCCUGCUUGCGUUGGGGUCCUGCGGCUGCCCGCAGGCCCUGAAAACCAGUGGCGGGCUCGCUAGUCACACCGAGCGCAGUAAUACAUCUCGCUUUGGGCGUGCGGCGGGUUCUUGCCGUUAAACACCCCCUUUUUACCAAGGUUGACCUCGGAUCAGGUAAGAAUACCCGCUGAACUUAAGCAUAUCAAUAAGCGGAGGA